UACAGAGGUCUCAAGCGUUGUUCGGAUUCAUUGGGCGUAAAGGGUGUGUAGGUGGCGCCGUAAGUCGGGUGUGAAAUUUCGGAGCUUAACUCCGAAACUGCAUUCGAUACUGCGGUGCUUGAGGACUGGAGAGGAGACUGGAAUUCAUGGUGUAGCAGUGAAAUGCGUAGAGAUCAUGAGGAAGACCAGUGGCGAAGGCGGGUCUCUGGACAGUUCCUGACACUGAGACAGGAAGGCCAGGGGAGCAAACGGG
This 253-nucleotide ribosomal RNA is filed under the name uncultured bacterium. RNAcentral describes it as "partial 16S ribosomal RNA". It matches the Rfam family "Bacterial small subunit ribosomal RNA", at positions 524 to 776 of the family's 1533-position model. The record is from RNAcentral.